Manis javanica (Malayan pangolin) is the source of this 1151-nucleotide long non-coding RNA. RefSeq lists it as uncharacterized. The record is from RefSeq and is a predicted model, not a curated record. NCBI's taxonomy places the organism in Eukaryota, Metazoa, Chordata, Mammalia, Pholidota, Manidae.
GGGCUAUCUGAGUCCAUGGGCUUUAUGAUUUAAUUGUCUUUGAGCUAUUUACUACUCUGUCGAUUGUAGUAAGCUGAUAAUGCAAAUAAUUCUUGUCUAUAGACACAGCACAUAAGCCCAGUGGAGUUCAGCUGACCUCCUUCCCAGGCUGGGAGAGGCUGUUCCUGCACAUACGAAGCGAAGGCCUUUCAGCGCUCCAGGAGCCCAUCAGCGUGCACAGUCACUGGGCUCCCCUCUGAACAGGACACAACAGCUGUCUGGUUCCUCCAUUAAUUAGAAUCCCUCAAGAUGCCUGAUCUCCAGGACCCUGAAACAACUGAGCUUUGCCAGCCCCUUAAUAGAUGAACCAUCGCUGGCAAGACCUUGAAGACUCUGCCUUGCCUCACCCCGAAAGAGGAUGGAUGGUUGCCUCUGAGUUCUUGGGGAGAAUGACACUUGCCUCAAGUAACAGAAAUCCUGCAAUCACAAAACAAUUGAGGAACAGAAUGGCUGCAUGGGGACAGAGUGCUGGUCAGUGCGUCUGGUGUUGACCCUCGGAAUGGCGUGGUUGCUGGCCUGCCCAGCGUCACGAAGAAGAUCGAACUGUGUAUCGCUAGCCAGGAAAAGAUCCAAAUUCAAAGUAUGGUUUCUACUGAAUGUGCAUCACUUUUGCACCACCACUGUAAAGUCGAAAAACCGUAAGUCAAACCGUCCUAAGCUGGACUGUCUGUAAAUUAUUUACGGGGUUAAGGCAGCAUCUCACAAGCUCCGCUACAGUAACUUACUAAUAUGCAUUUUUUAAAGAUGUUAUCGGUAAACCAAAAGCAGCUGAAAGCAUGCAGGAGUGAGCAGUCAGCUUCGUGCCUUGCUGCAGCUCAGCGGAGGGACCUCUCCUUCCCCCAGAUGACUCGGUUCGCUCCGUUUGACAGCCUUGUCCUCAGCUCUCUCCUUUCUCCCCAGGGUGGCUUCAUCCCGUCCCAUAAAGUCAUCCCGUGAAGAGCCCUAAUCCAACCUCUCCUGCCAAGACCCCCCAGCUGAGGUGCCGCUUGACACACAGCUCCCCAGGAGACAUCGCAGAGACGAGGCGACUGACAGGCCAUAGUCCCUGGCAGCAUCUCUUCCUGCAGCACACCCGUCUGAUGAAUGUUACGAAGGUCAUAAAUCCUCGACUC